CACGCCGUAAACGAUGGAUGCUAGCUGUUAUGGGUAUCGACCCUCGUAGUAGCGAAGCUAACGCGUUAAGCAUCCCGCCUGUGGAGUACGAGCGCAAGCUUAAAACAUAAAGGAAUUGACGGGGACCCGCACAAGCGGUGGAGUGUGUUCUUUAAUUCGAUGGUAAGCGAAGAACCUUACCCAGGUUUGACAUCCUUGGAAUUUUGCCGAAAGGCGAGAGUGCUUUAUUGAGCCAAGUGACAGGUGU
Molecule: ribosomal RNA, 247 nt
Filed under: uncultured bacterium
Lineage: Bacteria
Description: partial 16S ribosomal RNA
Rfam family: Bacterial small subunit ribosomal RNA
Source: RNAcentral